Molecule: long non-coding RNA, 1925 nt
Organism: Aedes albopictus (Asian tiger mosquito)
Lineage: Eukaryota; Metazoa; Arthropoda; Insecta; Diptera; Culicidae
Exons: 2
Source: RefSeq, a predicted model, not a curated record
GAAUCCCCUGGGCUUGGUUUAUAUCUUCCAGGAAGCAUUGAUUUUCGUCAUAUGACCAUUGUGCUUUGCAGUGUUGAUUGGUUGAACUGAAUGUAGAUUCAAUGGUAAAUUUUAAAAUCAGAUAAUUCAAUCCUCUGAUAUAGUGAUUCCAAUUAUACUACGGCAUAGUGUAACGGUAUGUUGUCGAAAUCACUUAUGUACCGGGAAAAUAUAAUUCCAAGCUGGUGAGAAUAUUACCACUGAGGGGGGUUAUGAGCCCAGUCAGACCCUUGAUGGGACAAUAAUGUGGGAUAGUAUAUGGGAAUACCAUUGAAGGUGGUAAUAAUCUCCGAGGCUUAUGAAAUCCGACAGGGCGCGUGCAUUAGGCUGCGGAUCUAUGCUAAGGGAGAUCAGUAGCAUCUGUUUGUUAUUAGUAGAACAAAAUGCCGUUCUAUGAAAACGCAGUGUGAGUGAUCUCCUAUGGUGCUGAAGUACUAUAAAUAAUCUCAUUCUCUGUGAAUUCUAACUUUGGCUAUCUAGUCAGUAAAUAGUAAAAUUAUUAAGAUAGCUUAAGAGCUAAGCCUUAAAAGCAUACAUUUUCUAAAUAUGACAAGGUUUUGAAGACAAACAUGAGAUGAGUAUCAGAUUUUAAUCUUUUAAUGAGUCAUUAGCAUAAUCGUAUGUGAGACAUAGGGUCAUGUCGAGCAAUUGAUUCAGUACUACAAAUCCACGCGGACAAUUUCAUUACAAACUAUUGGUUUUCGGCAGUCUUAUGACGGAAAGGCUCAGCUAUGCUGCAAAUCCAUAUAUUAGAGUCCGUUCGUAAACAUAUAGACCGAUCCCUCAUAAAAUUUUGUCCAUGCAAAACCAAAAUUGCAUGAAGUUACAACUUUGCCUCUCCUCAUGAAGUAUAUGUGAUUUAUGAACGAACUCCUAGUUGAAUCAAAUUAAUGGAUUUUUAUUUCUGGGGCACCCAUUGGGUAUAUCACUUCAAUAAUACAAAUACCGCUAACUCUUCUGUAGUUUUCUGUAGUUACACUAUCCAUUUGAAGAUGUAUAGUAAUUAGUAGUAUUUCAUAUAACCAAUAUCUAUAUAACUUCUUCGAUCCUCUUUGUAAGAUUUGGUAGAUAGUAUGACAGCAUUGAUUGAAACACGAGAGCUCUUUUAUCAUGUUAUUAUUCGCAUGAUUAAUUAUUUUAUGAACAAUAAUUUUAUUGACGAAUCCGAUUUAAACUAUUUGAAUAGUGAUUUUUGUUAAGCCAUAUUAAAAUAAUCACUAUCAUUAUCAAUGAAUGCUAUCCACUCAAGAUCUUCGCUACAUUAAAUUUUGAAUUACUGGAGGCUUCACUUAUUAACAAAUUUACAACAAACACGCUAUAACAGUAUCUAGAGAAUCGUGGAGGGUGAGUAACCUGAACUAGUAGCACUAUUCAUAUAUAUUAACAAUUAUAGGGUAGAAGCUUCAGUUUUGGCCAGCCCGGAGUUUUGGCCAUAGUGCGGUAUUCAGCCUGUAACGAUCUAAAUUGGCAUAAAUUUAUUUUUUACUAGUAGAUUCUAAUAUAAUAAUAUGAUUGCAGCUGUUAAAACCAUACAUUUAGAUUAAAAACUUGAAGAAAAAAAUAAUUGUCCUUAAAAAAUCAGCUCCCAUACAUCUAUUUUGGCCAGGGUGCUUCUAAUUUGGCCACUCCCAUAAGAAAUACACGUGAUUGGCCAAAAUAGAAACCAAAGCUGAGAAUAUGGCCAUAACUGCGGCAAGGCUUCUAUUUUGGCCAGUGCCACUUUUAAUACAUAAAUCAAGUAUUAGCUUGAUUUCUGCAUUUUUCUAAUAAAGUAUAGAUCGAAACCUUUCAUUUAACACAUUGAUAGUUUUCAUUGGAUUAUUGGUUAUUUUUAUAAAAAUGAUUUCCCUUAGAUUGGCCAAAACCGGUGCCCGCACCCUACUCUA